This 30-nucleotide small RNA is filed under the name Bombyx mori (domestic silkworm). Its description in RNAcentral is "ovarian small RNA-35693". Lineage: Eukaryota; Metazoa; Arthropoda; Insecta; Lepidoptera; Bombycidae. The record is from RNAcentral.
UGUCCUCGAGGUAGGACCCGAUCAGCCGAC